CUACGGCCGUCGCGAGGCGGCCGGAUGGGAUAGCAGAUGUCAGCAGACGCCAUAGUAGGUCUGUUACCGCAGACUGAAGGGC
This is a non-coding RNA of Marinobacterium sp., 82 nucleotides long. The record is from Rfam. Lineage: Bacteria; Pseudomonadati; Pseudomonadota; Gammaproteobacteria; Oceanospirillales; Oceanospirillaceae.